This 69-nucleotide transfer RNA is filed under the name Marmota marmota marmota (Alpine marmot). It matches the Rfam family "tRNA". From Rfam's summary of the family: Transfer RNA (tRNA) molecules are approximately 80 nucleotides in length. Their secondary structure includes four short double-helical elements and three loops (D, anti-codon, and T loops). Lineage: Eukaryota; Metazoa; Chordata; Mammalia; Rodentia; Sciuridae. RNAcentral also lists the same sequence under 1 other name. The record is from Rfam by way of RNAcentral.
GGGGUCGUAGCUCAGUGGUAGAGUACUCACCUAGUACGUGAGAGGCACUAGGUUCGACCCUCAGCCCCA